Molecule: ribosomal RNA, 601 nt
Filed under: Neobacillus drentensis
Lineage: Bacteria; Bacillati; Bacillota; Bacilli; Caryophanales; Bacillaceae
Description: bacterial SSU rRNA
Rfam family: Bacterial small subunit ribosomal RNA
Source: RNAcentral
CAACCUGCCUGUAAGACUGGGAUAACACCGGGAAACCGGUGCUAAUACCGGAUAAUCCUUUUCCUCUCAUGAGGAAAAGCUGAAAGUCGGUUUCGGCUGACACUUACAGAUGGGCCCGCGGCGCAUUAGCUAGUUGGUGAGGUAACGGCUCACCAAGGCGACGAUGCGUAGCCGACCUGAGAGGGUGAUCGGCCACACUGGGACUGAGACACGGCCCAGACUCCUACGGGAGGCAGCAGUAGGGAAUCUUCCACAAUGGACGAAAGUCUGAUGGAGCAACGCCGCGUGAGCGAUGAAGGCCUUCGGGUCGUAAAGCUCUGUUGUUAGGGAAGAACAAGUACCGGAGUAACUGCCGGUACCUUGACGGUACCUAACCAGAAAGCCACGGCUAACUACGUGCCAGCAGCCGCGGUAAUACGUAGGUGGCAAGCGUUGUCCGGAAUUAUUGGGCGUAAAGCGCGCGCAGGCGGUCCUUUAAGUCUGAUGUGAAAGCCCACGGCUCAACCGUGGAGGGUCAUUGGAAACUGGGGGACUUGAGUACAGAAGAGGAAAGCGGAAUUCCACGUGUAGCGGUGAAAUGCGUAGAGAUGUGGGAGGAACA